Long non-coding RNA from Sphaerodactylus townsendi, 812 nucleotides. RefSeq lists it as uncharacterized. Lineage: Eukaryota; Metazoa; Chordata; Lepidosauria; Squamata; Sphaerodactylidae. The record is from RefSeq and is a predicted model, not a curated record. The transcript is spliced from 3 exons.
GGGAGAGGAAGGAGUUGGUAAGCCCCUUUGAGUCUCUUUACAGGAGAGAAAGGUGGGGUAUAAAUCCAAACUCCUCUUCUUGAAUUCGUGAAACGAAUAUACCACAAAUGUUCUGACUAAUAUCUCCACUGCUUCUUCACCCUUUUUUCUAAAGUUGGAAGCUGGGCUCUCCCUUAGACAGAAAGCCAGAUUUCGGGUGAAAAACACACUUUGGGAGUAUGUAGAGGUGGCCAUAAGGACGGGAGAGACCCAAUUGAGCCCUUCUCCCCUUCUCAUUGCAGAGAAACACAUGGAAAGAACGGGAAUACUUGAAUAUCAGAUACCUUCCCAUGGAGAAACCCAGGUCCCCUUCGCCAGGGGACGACGAUGAAUCUUCUUCCAUGUACGAGAACCUCAAUAUCAGAACCCCAAAGGUUUUAGAGAGGAACAGUUCUGGGAGAUAGCGGCUCAAGAAGAGCAUGGAUGGUGACGGCCUUCAGGACUUAAAACCAGAGUUACGCCCUUCCCCUUUCUUCACUGUCUGUUGCUGCCGCUGCUGCCUUGCUGCCGCCGCCGCCGUGUUCCUCCGUUCCCAAAGCACCUUGGAUUCAGCACAGAAAACCCAAAGAAUCUCUGCUGGGAGGGGGGGUUGCCUUAAAGAGGUUGGCACACCCCGGCUUAACUUAUUCAGGAGAGACACAAACUUUUUUGCCUGUUUCCUCCCCCCCUCCCCACCAAUUAUCUGCAAGUGCCUCUGGAUUAUUACAAUCGAAAAUAUGGCUCUCCUCUUCAAUUUGGUUUUUUUUUUUUGUAAUAUAAAAAUACCAAGUGCA